UUCUCUCUCGUUACCUCAUCUUGUACGCAUAGGAUAGGUAAACCAUUGGAAUUGUUAGUCACUUGGUUCAGAUUUGUGAACAGCAUUGUAUCCUCCUUCUUUCCACGCCUGGCCGUAGGUUAGUUGGGAGAAGAACACAAGAACAAAAUCAAAAUCUGAUUCACCUCCACCCUCUCAUCACCCCAACCGUACACCCACUAAGCUUAUCAACCAUGGAUUGAGUUUCAAUACCACACUCUCUUCUCUUAUGCUCCAGGAAAAUCGUGUGUUAAUUGAGAGGGGAACUAUCAUCUAAGUUCCCGGUCAUGUCCUCCCUAGUUCGCAUGAGUUGCAGCAGCCAUGGUGAAGCUCAAAAUUUCACCUACUUCUUUCCUAUCCUUUGGUUCGGCCGAAAUUCCAACCUCUAAGAAGGUAACCUGUCUUCUUUACAUCUCUGCCCCUUCUUCAUUCAUUUCGAUUUGAAAAAGGGUUCUCACCUUGCAUGCGCAUGAUCUGGUCUGAAUUAGUGUUGCCUUCUUUUGCAUGCAAAUGAUGAAUUGAGCUGGACCUUUAUUCCUUCCUUCCCUCGGGCACACAGCUAAAAGUAGAAGUGUGAAUAACUCUUGAGUGUGGGCUGAUUGUUGCUGCUAUUUAAUAAAUAAUUGUGGCAUUCGAGCAUAGCAUGGCAUGCAUACUAUAGGCAUCCCUGUGACUGAGCACGCAUCAUAUAGGCAUCCCUCGGUACCAGGGUAUGGGACACUUGGCAUCCGUCCGCAUAGGUCACAGUGGGAUUCAAUAAAUGAAGGUGCCGUUGCAUGGAAUUCCCACUGUGUAUGCACGCGCACGACGGUGCUAUGAGCGUGAAGAAGGCGUUAUAUACGCAAUAUGAUAUAUGAUGAAAAGGAUUUAAUGUUUGUAGCGACUGUUUAUAAUUUUGUGCCUAGUUUAAUACUGUUGCAUUAUUGGUUUUGUUGCCACACUACUGGGAUUUUUCUCACCCUUUUGGGGCUGCUAGUUUUACAAAAUGGCAGGAGGACAUAAGAGCAUUUGAAGACAUGUUUAAUUGGAUAUUUGCUGUUAUUUGCUGCUGAGCUGUAUGGACUAUUGUUGUUGCUGAUGUUUGAUGGAUGACUGUAUUCAAUUGAGUAACUUGGAUUACAGUUGGAUUAUGAUUUUGGAUUAUAAUAUUUUCAAGACAGAUCGUUUUCGGGAAAAAUCAGAGUUUCGCAGCGAAAGCCUUUUUGAAUUUUCUUGCUGAUUUAUUUCUCCAAGUCAGUGUCUAAGCAAGCUUUUCUAAUUGAUAUUAAAUGAAAAAGUUUUUACUAAACGAGAAUUUCAUACGAUAACGUUAAGUCUCUAAUCCGCUUAGCAAACCACUCUCUUGGAUGCAUACAAGGGAGGGUGUUACAAAGGGGGUCACUGUAUGUUUUUUUUUUUAAAUUUCAUGAAACAAUUUUAUUAAAAAAUAAAAUAAAAUUGCUAGCAAACCUAAAUCUAAUCGUUCUCUUCUCUCCCAGCGACCUAGACAUCUUCAAUCUCCACC
This is a long non-coding RNA of Gastrolobium bilobum, 1522 nucleotides long. RefSeq lists it as uncharacterized. The transcript has 3 exons. Lineage: Eukaryota; Viridiplantae; Streptophyta; Magnoliopsida; Fabales; Fabaceae. The record is from RefSeq and is a predicted model, not a curated record.